This 344-nucleotide long non-coding RNA is filed under the name Taeniopygia guttata (zebra finch). RNAcentral's name for it is "lncRNA (ENSTGUG00000027900.1)". The record is from RNAcentral. Lineage: Eukaryota; Metazoa; Chordata; Aves; Passeriformes; Estrildidae.
AGCACAAAACGUUAAUUAAGGAGCUCAUUAACAUCUAAUUAGCAUAACGACGGCUAAUUGCCCGCAGGGCUCGCGGCGGAAGCGGGAGCGGCGCAAGGAGGGGCGGCGGCCGCGGGGGGCGGAGCCUGAGCCGGAAGAGGCGGAGCUGAGCCGGCGCCUGCAGGCCCUGGCGGCCGCCGCCGACGAGGAGGAGGAGGAGGAGGAGGAAGCUCCGGCGUCGCGGAGAGGAGCGAGGAGGAGGAAGGGUGGGAACGUUUUCGCUGCGCUGAGCCGGGAGCAGAGCGAGGAAGAGGAGGAGGAGGAAAAGGAGGAGGAAAAGGAGAAAAAAACAACCAAGGGCAAAA